GAUGAACGCUGGCUAUAGGCUUAACACAUGCAAGUCGAGGGGAAACGACGGGGAAGCUUGCUUCCCCGGGCGUCGACCGGCGCACGGGUGAGUAACGCGUAUCCAACCUGCCUCUGACUGAGGGAUAACCCGUCGAAAGUCGGCCUAAUACCUCAUGGCAUCGUCUGCGGGCAUCCAACGACGAUUAAAGAUUUCAUCGGUCAGGGAUGGGGAUGCGUCUGAUUAGCUUGUUGGCGGGGUAACGGCCCACCAAGGCGACGAUCAGUAGGGGUUCUGAGAGGAAGGUCCCCCACAUUGGAACUGAGACACGGUCCAAACUCCUACGGGAGGCAGCAGUGAGGAAUAUUGGUCAAUGGGCGAGAGCCUGAACCAGCCAAGUAGCGUGCAGGAUGACGGCCCUAUGGGUUGUAAACUGCUUUUAUGCGGGGAUAAAGUGAGGGACGUGUCCUUCAUUGCAGGUACCGCAUGAAUAAGGACCGGCUAAUUCCGUGCCAGCAGCCGCGGUAAUACGGAAGGUCCGGGCGUUAUCCGGAUUUAUUGGGUUUAAAGGGAGCGUAGGCCGUGGAUUAAGCGUGUUGUGAAAUGCAGGUGCUCAACGUCUGCACUGCAGCGCGAACUGGUCCACUUGAGUGUGCGCAACGCAGGCGGAAUUCGUCGUGUAGCGGUGAAAUGCUUAGAUAUGACGAAGAACUCCGAUUGCGAAGGCAGCUUGCGGGAGCACAACUGACGCUGAAGCUCGAAAGUGCGGGUAUCGAACAGG
Molecule: ribosomal RNA, 760 nt
Filed under: uncultured Prevotella sp.
Lineage: Bacteria; Pseudomonadati; Bacteroidota; Bacteroidia; Bacteroidales; Prevotellaceae
Description: bacterial SSU rRNA
Rfam family: Bacterial small subunit ribosomal RNA
Source: RNAcentral